This 484-nucleotide ribosomal RNA is filed under the name uncultured bacterium. Its description in RNAcentral is "partial 16S ribosomal RNA". It matches the Rfam family "Bacterial small subunit ribosomal RNA", at positions 29 to 507 of the family's 1533-position model. The record is from RNAcentral.
AUUGAACGCUGGCGGCAUGCUUUACACAUGCAAGUCGAACGGCAGCGCGUGCUUCGGCCUGGCGGCGAGUGGCGAACGGGUGAGUAAUUCAUCGGAACGUGCCCAGUAGUGGGGGAUAGCGCGGCGAAAGCCGGAUUAAUACCGCAUACGACCUGAGGAUGAAAGCGUGGGACCGAAAGGCCUCGCGCUAUUGGUGCGUCCGAUGUCGGAUUAGCUAGUUGGUGGGGUAAAGGCUUACCAAGGCGACGAUCCGUAGCUGGUCUGAGAGGACGACCAGCCACACUGGGACUGAGACACGGCCCAGACUCCUACGGGAGGCAGCAGUGGGGAAUUUUGGACAAUGGGGGCAACCCUGAUCCAGCCAUGCCGCGUGCGGGAAGAAGGCCUUCGGGUUGUAAAGCGCUUUUGUUCGGGAAGAAAAACUGUGGGCUAAUACCCCGGGGGGAUGACGGUACCGGAAGAAUAAGCACCGGCUAACUACGUG